Molecule: ribosomal RNA, 259 nt
Filed under: uncultured bacterium
Lineage: Bacteria
Description: partial 16S ribosomal RNA
Rfam family: Bacterial small subunit ribosomal RNA
Source: RNAcentral
GGACCUACGGGACGCAGCAGUGAGGAAUAUUGGUCAAUGGGCGAGAGCCUGAACCAGCCAAGUCGCGUGAAGGAUGACGGCCCUACGGGUUGUAAACUUCUUUUGUCAGGGAGCAAUUGAGUCCACGUGUGGGCUUAGCGAGAGUACCUGAAGAAAAAGCAUCGGCUAACUCCGUGCCAGCAGCCGCGGUAAUACGGAGGAUGCGAGCGUUAUCCGGAUUUAUUGGGCGUAAAGCGAGUGCAGGCGGUUCAAUAAGUCU